This 106-nucleotide small nuclear RNA is filed under the name Mesocricetus auratus (golden hamster). Its description in RNAcentral is "U12 minor spliceosomal RNA (ENSMAUG00000004301.1)". Lineage: Eukaryota; Metazoa; Chordata; Mammalia; Rodentia; Cricetidae. The record is from RNAcentral.
AUGCCUUAAAUUUAUGAGUAAGGAAAAUAGCAAUUGCAGGUGACAUCCCCGUCCUCACUGCUAAUGUGAGACCAAUGUUUGAGUCCCCGCUAAGGUGCCCCACCUU